GGCUCAUUGGCCUAGGGGUAUGAUUCUUGCUUAGGGUGUGAGAUGCCUCAGGUUCAAAUACCAGAUGAGCCC
Non-coding RNA from Megalops atlanticus (tarpon), 72 nucleotides. The record is from the annotation of a GenBank genome assembly. NCBI's taxonomy places the organism in Eukaryota, Metazoa, Chordata, Actinopteri, Elopiformes, Megalopidae.